GUGGGGAAUUUUGGACAAUGGGGGCAACCCUGAUCCAGCCAUGCCGCGUGCGGGAAGAAGGCCUUCGGGUUGUAAACCGCUUUUGUCAGGGAAGAAAUCCUUUGGGUUAAUACCUCGGAGGGAUGACGGUACCUGAAGAAUAAGCACCGGCUAACUACGUGCCAGCAGCCGCGGUAAUACGUAGGGUGCGAGCGUUAAUCGGAAUUACUGGGCGUAAAGCGUGCGCAGGCGGUUUUGUAAGAUCGAUGUGAAAGCCCCGGGCUCAACCUGGGAACUGCAUUGGUGACUGCAAGGCUGGAGUGCGGCAGAGGGGGAUGGAAUUCCGCGUGUAGCAGUGAAAUGCGUAGAUAUGCGGAGGAACACCGAUGGCGAAGGCAAUCCCCUGGGCCUGCACUGACGCUCAUGCACGAAAGCGUGGGGAGCAAACAGGAUUAGAUACCCUAGUAGUCC
Molecule: ribosomal RNA, 450 nt
Filed under: uncultured bacterium
Lineage: Bacteria
Description: partial 16S ribosomal RNA
Rfam family: Bacterial small subunit ribosomal RNA
Source: RNAcentral